CGCCCCGUCAGCGUGGCCUAACCCGCCCCGUCAGCGUGGCCUAACCCGGGACGUUGCAUUUUUUAUGGGAGUAGAAGUAGGGGGGGUUGAAUACUAGUGUCUUUAGCGGAAGCAAGGGGGUAGAGAUCCAUUAGCCUCUCAUCACCUGCAAAAGGGGCGUGGCUGUGCCAUGCUACUUCCUGGUGUUGGGGCUGUUUGAUUGGCUGCCCAGAUUGGGGUGGGGGGUUGGGGGGGGGGGGGUCCAGGUUAAAGGGUGUGAUCUGUCACCAUGGAAAGAGUGCUGAUUGACAGCUAAGCUGGCACAUUAUUAUGGGAUGCUUUGGGCCCCUUCCGCUGGCAGGCAGGGGCUUUCGCUCAUCCAAUCACUCGUCGGCAAAGUGUGUGUCCUCUGUGUGUGUGUGUGUCACUGUGUGUGUGUGUGUGUUUGUGUGUGUGUGCGCUGUGUCUUGUCCAGACCCCCUGGGUAGUGUGUGUCUAGGAAGACCACCUCGGGCACACACGCGCGCGCCACGUCGACAGUGCCAAGAGUGUGUGUGCCGCCAUGCGUGUGUGUGUCAGAGAGACGCCAGGGGAGGAGGGGGCGGGGGAGGGAGGUUGCCUAGGUUACCCCGUCAGGUGAAUGUUUAAAAAAAAACUUUAAAAAAACUGUGGAUCGAAUUUCUUCUCUGCUACGAUGAGGCAUCUCUAAAGCUCGUCUUCGGACCCUGUCCAGUGUAAUCACUAAGAGUUGUACAGUUAGCGCGUGACGUUUGAUCUACAGCCUGCUUAGACUCCUAAAAACACACAAACACACUCUCUACCAUGUUGCAUGUUCAUCCUCUCAUGUAGUCCGUCCUAUCAUUUCAGCAAGCCGUUUUACCCUCCUUUUAUAAAUAUAUAAAUAAUGUAUAGAUCACUAAAAUUAACUCUGUAAGAUACUGUUUCUGAACAUGUCUAAAUAUAUCCACUAUGAAUACAGACCUGUGUUAUUUACAAAGUGCUGCUUAAAAAGCAUUGAUUGACUGAAUUUUGUAUUUAGUUCACAAAAAAAUAUUGUAGAUUUGUGAUAGUACGUUUUUAAUACGCGUUUCAAUAAAUACACCCACAAAUGUAUUGAAAUUCACUAUUAGUAUUUUUGUAUGUCUCAUUUUUGUACAAAAGAAAUAUUAGCAAUGUUUGUUUUUUUCCUUCUGCUAAAUGUACUUAGCUCUAAUACAUGUGCUUUCAAAUAAAAAGCUCAUGUU
Molecule: long non-coding RNA, 1223 nt
Organism: Osmerus eperlanus (European smelt)
Lineage: Eukaryota; Metazoa; Chordata; Actinopteri; Osmeriformes; Osmeridae
Exons: 2
Source: RefSeq, a predicted model, not a curated record